This 84-nucleotide transfer RNA is filed under the name Myxococcales bacterium. RNAcentral's name for it is "tRNA-Leu". It matches the Rfam family "tRNA". Rfam says of the family: Transfer RNA (tRNA) molecules are approximately 80 nucleotides in length. The record is from RNAcentral. Lineage: Bacteria; Pseudomonadati; Myxococcota; Myxococcia; Myxococcales.
GGCCGAGUGGCGGAACUGGCAGACGCGCCGGAUUCAAAAUCCGGUGCCCGCAAGGGCGUGUCGGUUCGAGUCCGACCUCGGCUA